This 433-nucleotide ribosomal RNA is filed under the name uncultured bacterium. RNAcentral's name for it is "bacterial SSU rRNA". It matches the Rfam family "Bacterial small subunit ribosomal RNA", at positions 43 to 524 of the family's 1533-position model. The record is from RNAcentral.
CAGGCCUAACACAUGCAAGUCGAACGCACCUUCGGGUGAGUGGCAGACGGGUGAGUAACACGUGGGAACGUGCCCUUCGGUUCGGAAUAACUCAGGGAAACUUGAGCUAAUACCGGAUACGCCCUUUGGGGGAAAGGUUUACUGCCGAAGGAUCGGCCCGCGUCUGAUUAGCUAGUUGGUGGGGUAAUGGCCUACCAAGGCGACGAUCAGUAGCUGGUCUGAGAGGAUGAUCAGCCACACUGGGACUGAGACACGGCCCAGACUCCUACGGGAGGCAGCAGUGGGGAAUAUUGGACAAUGGGCGAAAGCCUGAUCCAGCCAUGCCGCGUGAGUGAUGAAGGCCUUAGGGUUGUAAAGCUCUUUUGUCCGGGAAGAUAAAAACUGUACCGGGAGAAUAAGCCCCGGCUAACUUCGUGUCCAGCAGCCGCGUAAU